Molecule: ribosomal RNA, 781 nt
Filed under: Streptomyces griseus
Lineage: Bacteria; Bacillati; Actinomycetota; Actinomycetes; Kitasatosporales; Streptomycetaceae
Description: bacterial SSU rRNA
Rfam family: Bacterial small subunit ribosomal RNA
Source: RNAcentral
GCUCAGGACGAACGCUGGCGGCGUGCUUAACACAUGCAAGUCGAACGAUGAACCGCUUUCGGGCGGGGAUUAGUGGCGAACGGGUGAGUAACACGUGGGCAAUCUGCCCUGCACUCUGGGACAAGCCCUGGAAACGGGGUCUAAUACCGGAUAUGACUGUCUGCCGCAUGGUGGAUGGUGUAAAGCUCCGGCGGUGCAGGAUGAGCCCGCGGCCUAUCAGCUUGUUGGUGAGGUAGUGGCUCACCAAGGCGACGACGGGUAGCCGGCCUGAGAGGGCGACCGGCCACACUGGGACUGAGACACGGCCCAGACUCCUACGGGAGGCAGCAGUGGGGAAUAUUGCACAAUGGGCGAAAGCCUGAUGCAGCGACGCCGCGUGAGGGAUGACGGCCUUCGGGUUGUAAACCUCUUUCAGCAGGGAAGAAGCGAAAGUGACGGUACCUGCAGAAGAAGCGCCGGCUAACUACGUGCCAGCAGCCGCGGUAAUACGUAGGGCGCAAGCGUUGUCCGGAAUUAUUGGGCGUAAAGAGCUCGUAGGCGGCUUGUCACGUCGGUUGUGAAAGCCCGGGGCUUAACCCCGGGUCUGCAGUCGAUACGGGCAGGCUAGAGUUCGGUAGGGGAGAUCGGAAUUCCUGGUGUAGCGGUGAAAUGCGCAGAUAUCAGGAGGAACACCGGUGGCGAAGGCGGAUCUCUGGGCCGAUACUGACGCUGAGGAGCGAAAGCGUGGGGAGCGAACAGGAUUAGAUACCCUGGUAGUCCACGCCGUAAACGGUGGGCACUA